Molecule: ribosomal RNA, 449 nt
Filed under: uncultured organism
Description: partial 16S ribosomal RNA
Rfam family: Bacterial small subunit ribosomal RNA
Source: RNAcentral
ACACUCCUGCGGGAGGCAGCAGUGGGGAAUCUUGCGCAAUGGGCGAAAGCCUGACGCAGCCAUGCCGCGUGAAUGAUGAAGGUCUUAGGAUUGUAAAAUUCUUUCACCGGGGACGAUAAUGACGGUACCCGGAGAAGAAGCCCCGGCUAACUUCGUGCCAGCAGCCGCGGUAAUACGAAGGGGGCUAGCGUUGCUCGGAAUUACUGGGCGUAAGGGAGCGUAGGCGGACAUUUAAGUCAGGGGUGAGAUCCCGGGGCUCAACCUCGGAAUUGCCUUUGAUACUGGGUGUCUUGAGUAUGAGAGAGGUGUGUGGAACUCCGAGUGUAGAGGUGAAAUUCGUAGAUAUUCGGAAGAACACCAGUGGCGAAGGCGACACACUGGCUCAUUACUGACGCUGAGGCUCGAAAGCGUGGGGAGCAAACAGGAUUAGAUACCCCUGUAGUCCCAUG